GUAGGUGAACCUGCGGAAGGAUCAUUAACACGUAUCCACGUAUCAUAUUAUCCACACCAAACUCUGUGAACUAUGUUUAUCACAUAUGUAAGAGACAGACUGUUUGUUAAUAGCAUUCAGUCAGUUAAUUAGAUAUGUCAUUUUUCAACCUUUUUUUAUAUACCCCUCUUGACUCCCUAACAGCCCCAAUGGACUAAUUUUAUGAUUGUCAAAUAUAUAUAUAUAUUUUAUGCAUGUAUAGUAUUUUAUUAUAUCAUGUAUGAUGUAUAUAUGUGUUUUAUCAAUCGAACCAUAUGGAUUUCAUUUCCAAAUGAGUUGAAGCACAACUCUUAGCAAUGGAUAUCUUGGUUCUC
This 353-nucleotide unclassified non-coding RNA is filed under the name rhizosphere metagenome. Its description in RNAcentral is "partial ribosomal RNA internal transcribed spacer region". The record is from RNAcentral.